CCAUCCAUCCUUUCAUUCAUUCGCGCAACCACCCUCCCCCUUCAUUCCUUCACUCCUUCAUCCCUUCCUCGCCAAACAGAUGUUCGGGAAUACCUUCUACGACGGCUGCCUUUUUUGGUAAAACGGACGAAUUGUAUGUCUCAAGAACAAGGGAAAUAGCGCCUACCUCCUGCUACUGGGUUAUGAAUGAGAUUCUGAGGAUGAGGUGCUCCGGACACACCAGUGCCCUUCCUGCCCCCUUUGCUGGUCCCUGGACUCCCUGACCCAGCUGGACUGGACUCAACCUAAAGUCCUCUUCAUCGGCUUCCCUCUUUCCCUUCCAUCCACUGAGUGCCCGCCGUGUGCUGGUCUUCUUAGGACCUCAGGGGAGGCAGACCAAUAAAAAGUGGAGUUUGGAGUUCCCUCUGUGCUCAGUGGGUUAAGGACCUGACUAGUGUCUGUGAAGAUACGGGUUCAAUCCCUGGCCUCGCUCAGUGGGUUAAGCAUCUUGCAUUGCUGCAGACUGCAGCCUAGGCCGAAGAUGUGGCUCCGUUCCUGUGUUGUGUGGCUGUGACGUAGGCGGGCAGCUGUCCGAUUUGACCCCUAGUCUGGGAACCUCCAUAUAUGGCUGGUGCAGCCCUGAAAAAAA
Long non-coding RNA from Sus scrofa (pig), 628 nucleotides. RefSeq lists it as uncharacterized. The record is from RefSeq and is a predicted model, not a curated record. Lineage: Eukaryota; Metazoa; Chordata; Mammalia; Artiodactyla; Suidae.